GUACACGCUGUGACUAGCAUAUCAAUAAGCGGAGGAAAAGAAACUAACAAGGAUUCCCCUAGUAACGGCGAGUGAAGCGGGAAGAGCUCAAAUUUGAAAUCUUAAAGGGUUUCCCUUUACGAAUUGUAGUUUAAAGAAGUGUUUUCUGUUGAGGUUUUGGUAAAAGUUCUUUGGAAUAGGACAUCAUAGAGGGUGAGAAUCCCGUAUUUGACCUUUACUUUCAACUUUGUGAUACACUUUCAAAGAGUCGGAUUGUUUGGGAAUGCAGUCCAAAAUGGGUGGUAAAUUUCAUCUAAAGCUAAGUAUUGGCGAGAGACCGAUAGCGAACAAGUACCGUGAGGGAAAGAUGAAAAGAACUUUGAAAAGAGAGUUAAACAGUACGUGAAAUUGUCAAAAGGGAAGCGUUUGACACCAGUGUUGUUUUUCUGAAAAUCAAUUAAAGAACUGUUUAUGCUAAGUUGUUUAGACUUUAUCAGCUAACUGUUUAGUUUUGAGCUUUUCUUUAAUGCACUUUUCAGUUAACAAGUCAACAUCAAUUUCUUUUGCUGUAAAAAAGCUUGAGGAAGGCGGCUUGAGAUUCGUCUUAAGUGUUUAUAGCCUCUUGCCUAUGCAGUCGGAGAGAUUGAGGUCUGCAGCGUAGAUCCUUCGGGGCUAAAUGCAUUUGUGCUAAGUUAUAGCAUUUUAUAGACAACUUGUUGACUAUGAUUUGUCUUGUAGCUUACUCGCUUAUGUUAUUUUACCUACGCUUAGGAUGUUGACGAGACUGUCGAUCUC
This 774-nucleotide ribosomal RNA is filed under the name uncultured Neocallimastigales. Its description in RNAcentral is "partial large subunit ribosomal RNA". It matches the Rfam family "Eukaryotic large subunit ribosomal RNA", at positions 22 to 646 of the family's 3401-position model. The record is from RNAcentral. Lineage: Eukaryota; Fungi; Neocallimastigomycota; Neocallimastigomycetes; Neocallimastigales.